UUUUUUAUGGAGGUAAUCGAUUACCACCUUUGGUGUAACCGGUUACAUCCCUGAAUGUAUGUCUUAUUUCUGCUUCUGUUUAUGAUGUAAUCGAUUACCACUUUGGGUGUAAUCGAUUACACCCAUGUUUCGUGACUUAUUUUUUCUUUUGUUUUAUGGUGUAACCGAUUACACCUCCCCGGAUAAUCGAUUACACCUGAGCAUUCCAGAAUAUUUUUUAUAUUAAUUAAAUAAAUGCCUUUGGAUAAGUGUAUUUUUACUCAGAUUUUCUUUACUCU
Molecule: long non-coding RNA, 278 nt
Filed under: Lathyrus oleraceus (garden pea)
Lineage: Eukaryota; Viridiplantae; Streptophyta; Magnoliopsida; Fabales; Fabaceae
Description: Pisum sativum (pea) long non-coding RNA (PSAT_LNC030941)
Source: RNAcentral